AUUUUAAGUCGUCGAAUAGUUUGAAACCUUUCUGUUUGGAUAUGAAGACUCAUAUGAAAUGCUUUUCAAGCGAGUCUGAGUCGGUGUCAUACAUAAAAUUGGUAUGGUCAAGAAGAUAAUUUGACCAUCCCUCGAAGUUUCCUACCAUAUUGUCUUGAUCAUCAACGCUAGUUGA
RNAcentral lists this small RNA (175 nucleotides) under Arabidopsis thaliana (thale cress). RNAcentral describes it as "ATSL303940". The record is from RNAcentral. Lineage: Eukaryota; Viridiplantae; Streptophyta; Magnoliopsida; Brassicales; Brassicaceae.